GGCCCCGCAGGCCGGCACAGCCGCACCAUUAGGCCCCGCUCCAGCGCCAGGCCCGGCCCAGACAGCGCAGGGCGGGCAGCGCUUUGCCGGGACCGACAUCUCCCGCAGACCAGCACAGCACGGAACAGCACAGGCGCCGCAACGAGGCCAAGAAGCGACCACAGACUGGAGGGGGAUCGAGAGCCCCAGAGACCCCCAGACCUCAGACCUGUUUCCAGAAAGGUCUGAAAGAACAGCCUGUGCAUGACAACUCAUUGGCACAGAAGAGAGAAAGCCGCCUUCUGCAGGGAACCCUGUCCCUGCAAAGGUACCCCCAGCAAGCCCAGCAGCCUGGACAUCCCUCCAGCUGCAUCCACGCUGGACACCGGACUGACCCCUUGAACAGGAUGGCGGCGUCACCCAUUCUCAGAGGAAGAGAAUUCACCCAACCAAAGCCAACAGGAGUUUUCCCUGCAGGGAAGGCCAGAGCUGCCACCAAGGAGGGAAGCAGAGCCCCGUGGCUGUGGGAAGGACUGACCCUUUGCAGGCUGACAACAUGGUAAGUGGGUGCAGCUGUUGGAACAGUCCAAACCCUUCCCAACUGUCACCUGGACCUGGAGGCCCUCUUUGGUUGAGGCUGCAAUCCCUUGGAUGAAGUUGUCCCUGUGGAUACAAUUGGUACUUCAUGUUCCUAGGAAGGACCCUCCCCAGCUGGGCAAGCUUUGUGCAGCCCUGGUUUCUGUUGCACUCGGGGCAGCUCUUUCCCAUCCUGUCCAGAGCAAGACAAUGCCAUGACCCAGAUGGGAGUGCAGAGCAGGUCUGGACUGACAGGACAGUCAUCCACGACCACAUCAGCCUGACAUUCCCUGAUGAUGGCAACGGGAUGAACUCGGAGCAGCUGCACAAAAUACUAAGGCACUGUGCAACCUCUCUGGAGUGCCCAUUAGUGGAGAGAAAGACAAUUCAUAUGGUUGUGACUGUCUUUCCUUUCAGUUGGCAACCAAGAGAAGAGACAGACUCGGCUCCAAUCCUUUGGAGUAUUGAUAAGAGAAGGUAG
RNAcentral lists this long non-coding RNA (1036 nucleotides) under Manacus vitellinus (golden-collared manakin). RNAcentral describes it as "lncRNA (ENSMVIG00005016222.1)". Lineage: Eukaryota; Metazoa; Chordata; Aves; Passeriformes; Pipridae. The record is from RNAcentral.